Molecule: non-coding RNA, 29 nt
Filed under: Rattus norvegicus (Norway rat)
Lineage: Eukaryota; Metazoa; Chordata; Mammalia; Rodentia; Muridae
Source: RNAcentral
GUCAUUGUCCAUCUCCUGGAAACUGGUGU